Molecule: long non-coding RNA, 723 nt
Filed under: Olea europaea subsp. europaea
Lineage: Eukaryota; Viridiplantae; Streptophyta; Magnoliopsida; Lamiales; Oleaceae
Source: RNAcentral
ACUGGAAAGGCAUUCACUAGUCAUGUAUUCGACUGUCCAAAAUCGAGUUAAAGUGAAACUGGGAGUCCAUUACCUAAAUCUUCCUGUGCCACCAUUCUUCAGAAGCAACGAUUCAGCCGGUAGCAUCGUUAUACUCAACCCCGCUACUGUUGACAAGUUCCGAUAGACGCUUGUAUGUUCGACUCAUUGAAUCCCAAUGAUUUCACAGCUGCUAGCGGGUCCAGUUAUGGCCGAUCACUGAGUUGAAGAGUGAGGCGACUCGUUCCCAUCGUGUUUUGUAAAACAAAGACCUCACUACCCCUCUGCAAUGGCGGUCUAACACGCAGCAAUGAAAGCUCGGGUGGCUUCUGGACUCCAGCGAGAGUAGGACUUCGAGGCCGUCCCCAUCGCUAAGUUGGAAGUUCCGUGAGUGAAAUCCCCUGACUGCGGUUUUUAACAAUAGAAAAAUCGGGGGAAGUGGAAGAUGAAAGGAUAAUUUAUUAUAUGUGUACCUGUUUUCCGGAUUCAUCCAUUGUUGGUCAUCGUCUCUGCGUCGAUCAAGCAUCGUUGUGGAUUGUGGCUUGAGGGGAACCGGUGAUAGUUGUUGUGGGAAGUCGUUCAGUUGUGGGAAGGUGAAAGUCGACACCGAAUAGUUUGAUUGCUGAAAUUUUUGGCCUGUGUUUUGGGUGCUCUGUCGCCAGGUUGGGAGACGAAUGUGGGGAAAGGAAAGUGUCGGUGGGAGGG